AAUCAAAAAAUAUUCUUUUAUUGAUAAAUCAAAAUCGCUAACAUUACAAGGGGUGUCGUAUAUUUAAUCUUUAAAUAUAUAUACAAUUCGCAUGAGUUAUAUUGGUAUGAUAGUCGUCAUGUUUCGGACUAUAAAUAAAUUACUCAGACAUGAUAAACAGAAAAAUAACACAUGCAUAUAAUGAAUUCAUCAUAAAAUCAGUCAAAAUGGAACUUGUAAAUGAUAUAAAUGUUUAUGAAAUUAAAGGUGCUAUGAAGGGAGACUUUGAUCCAAGAGUACAACAAUGAUCCAAUGAAAGUGCAACAGAGAAAUAGAAGAUAGCGACAAUGAUAGAAAGCUUCAAAUUUUGCAUAAAACUAUAAUGAAAAUCUAGAGUAAUUCAGUACAAAUGUGCUUGGGUGCUUUUCCUAUGAGUUAUGGCCCUAUUUGUACAUAUUUUUGCAUUCCAAAUACUUAAGAAAUUGUGCAGAAUCAAGAGAGAAUGGUCGAGAAAAAGGCUGAAACAAAUUGAGAAAGUGGAGAAAAACAGGGACUAUAGUAGAUUACGAGCAUCAUCCUAGAUGAAGGUUUUCCCUUCAUCUUUUGUAAAUUUAGUUUCAGGGCCCAUGAUGGGCGUCAUUUGUAAUGACAACCUUCCUGUCAUAGGUCAUAGGUUCUUCAGCGUUGGCUUCUCUGUUUGUUUUUUAGCCAUGACGACCGGCUCCUCGGGGCGUGAUAUGCGUCAUGCCUACCCAUCAUGAAACCUUAUUCUUUUUUUAUUAUUAUUUUUCAUUUGUUCCUUCUAUAGUCGUUUCCAAUCGCCAUAUACUCGAAACACAAUGAAAACAGCCAGUAUUGCAAUAAAAGGAAUAUAAAACGAUAUUAAAAACACUAAAAUUAAGCUAAAAAACAUGGUGAAAUGCUUGUUAUCAUUGAUAUAAUGUUAGAAUGCAACAAAAAAAAAGUAGACUGGAUAUAUUAUU
RNAcentral lists this long non-coding RNA (962 nucleotides) under Lathyrus oleraceus (garden pea). RNAcentral describes it as "Pisum sativum (pea) long non-coding RNA (PSAT_LNC007300)". Lineage: Eukaryota; Viridiplantae; Streptophyta; Magnoliopsida; Fabales; Fabaceae. The record is from RNAcentral.